GGCCAGCUAGCUCAGCUGGUUAGAGCAUGGUGCUAAUAACGCCAAGGUCAUGGGUUCAAGCCCCAUGCUGGCCA
Chelonia mydas (Green sea turtle) is the source of this 74-nucleotide non-coding RNA. Lineage: Eukaryota; Metazoa; Chordata; Testudines; Cheloniidae. The record is from Rfam.